This 173-nucleotide microRNA precursor is filed under the name Pelobates cultripes (western spadefoot toad). The record is from RNAcentral. Lineage: Eukaryota; Metazoa; Chordata; Amphibia; Anura; Pelobatidae.
CAGCAGACACAUUCCAGCCAAUCAGCAGCAGACCCUCCCUCCCAGACCCUCUCACCUCCUGAACAGCUCACUAAGAAUGCAGCUUCACAAUGAAUGUAAAAUGGAUGCUGUCCAGGAGGUGGGAGGGUCUGGGAGGGAGGGUCUGCUGCUGAUUGGCUGGAAUGUGUGUGCUG